RNAcentral lists this ribosomal RNA (367 nucleotides) under uncultured organism. RNAcentral describes it as "bacterial SSU rRNA". It matches the Rfam family "Bacterial small subunit ribosomal RNA", at positions 526 to 896 of the family's 1533-position model. The record is from RNAcentral.
CGGAGGAUCCAAGCGUUAUCCGGAUUUAUGGGUUUAAAGGGUGCGUAGGCGGCCUGUUAAGUCAGGGGUGAAAGACGGUAGCUCAACUAUCGCAGUGCCCUUGAUGCUGAUGGGCUUGAAUACACUAGAGGUAGGCGGAAUGUGACAAGUAGCGGUGAAAUGCAUAGAUAUGUCACAGAACACCGAUUGCGAAGGCAGCUUACUAUGGUGUCAUUGACGCUGAGGCACGAAAGCGUGGGGAUCAAACAGGAUUAGAUACCCUGGUAGUCCACGCCCUAAACGAUGAAUACUCGCUGUUGGCGAUACACAGUCAGCGGCUAAGCGAAAGCGUUAAGUAUUCCACCUGGGGAGUACGCUCGCAAGAGUG